AUUGAACGCUGGCGGCAGGCCUAACGCAUGCAAGUCGAGCGGAUGAGGGGAGCUUGCUCCUCGAUUCAGCGGCGGACGGGUGAGUAAUGCCUAGGAAUCUGCCUAGUAGUGGGGGACAACGUCUCGAAAGGAACGCUAAUACCGCAUACGUCCUACGGGAGAAAGUGGGGGAUCUUCGGACCUCACGCUAUUAGAUGAGCCUGGGUCUGAUUAGAUAGUUGGUAGGGUAAAGGCCUACCAAGGCGACGAUCCGUAACUGGUCUGAGAGGAUGAUCAGUCACACUGGAACUGAGACACGGUCCAGACUCCUACGGGAGGCAGCAGUGGGGAAUAGUGGACAAUGGGCGAAAGCCUGAUCCAGCCAUGCCGCGUGUGUGAAGAAGGCCUUCGGGUCGUAAAGCACUUUAAGUUGGGAGGAAGGGCUCAUAGCGAAUACCUGUGAGUUUUGACGUUACCAACAGAAUAAGCACCAGCCAACUUCGUGCCAGCAGCCGCCGUAA
RNAcentral lists this ribosomal RNA (500 nucleotides) under uncultured bacterium. RNAcentral's name for it is "partial 16S ribosomal RNA". It matches the Rfam family "Bacterial small subunit ribosomal RNA", at positions 30 to 523 of the family's 1533-position model. The record is from RNAcentral.